This 798-nucleotide ribosomal RNA is filed under the name uncultured bacterium. RNAcentral's name for it is "bacterial SSU rRNA". It matches the Rfam family "Bacterial small subunit ribosomal RNA", at positions 8 to 807 of the family's 1533-position model. The record is from RNAcentral.
AGAGUUUGAUCCUGGCUCAGGAUGAACGCUGGCGGCGUGCUUAACACAUGCAAGUCGAACGGGAAUUACUUUAUUGAAACUUCGGUCGAUUUAAUUUAAUUCUAGUGGCGGACGGGUGAGUAACGCGUGGGUAACCUGCCUUAUACAGGGGGAUAACAGUCAGAAAUGGCUGCUAAUACCGCAUAAGCGCACAGAGCUGCAUGGCUCAGUGUGAAAAACUCCGGUGGUAUAAGAUGGACCCGCGUUGGAUUAGCUAGUUGGUGGGGUAACGGCCCACCAAGGCGACGAUCCAUAGCCGGACUGAGAGGUUGAACGGCCACAUUGGGACUGAGACACGGCCCAGACUCCUACGGGAGGCAGCAGUGGGGAAUAUUGCACAAUGGGGGAAACCCUGAUGCAGCGACGCCGCGUGGAGGAAGAAGGUCUUCGGAUUGUAAACUCCUGUUGUUGAGGAAGAUAAUGACGGUACUCAACAAGGAAGUGACGGCUAACUACGUGCCAGCAGCCGCGGUAAAACGUAGGUCACAAGCGUUGUCCGGAAUUACUGGGUGUAAAGGGAGCGCAGGCGGGAAGACAAGUUGGAAGUGAAAUCCAUGGGCUCAACCCAUGAACUGCUUUCAAAACUGUUUUUCUUGAGUAGUGCAGAGGUAGGCGGAAUUCCCAGUGUAGCGGUGGAAUGCGUAGAUAUCGGGAGGAACACCAGUGGCGAAGGCGGCCUACUGGGCACCAACUGACGCUGGGGCUCGAAAGUGUGGGUAGCAAACAGGAUUAGAUACCCUGGUAGUCCACACUGUAAAC